Molecule: ribosomal RNA, 414 nt
Filed under: Gemella morbillorum
Lineage: Bacteria; Bacillati; Bacillota; Bacilli; Caryophanales; Gemellaceae
Description: bacterial SSU rRNA
Rfam family: Bacterial small subunit ribosomal RNA
Source: RNAcentral
GACGAACGCUGGCGGCGUGCCUAAUACAUGCAAGUCGAGCGAAGUUUUUCUGGUGCUUGCACUAGAAAAACUUAGCGGCGAACGGGUGAGUAACACGUAAAGAACCUGCCUCAUAGACUGGGACAACUAUUGGAAACGAUAGCUAAUACCGGAUAACAGUAUUUCUCGCAUGAGAGAUAUUUAAAAGUUGGUUAUGCUAACACUAUGAGAUGGCUUUGCGGUGCAUUAGCUAGUUGGUGGGGUAAAGGCCCACCAAGGCGACGAUGCAUAGCCGACCUGAGAGGGUGAUCGGCCACACUGGGACUGAGACACGGCCCAGACUCCUACGGGGAGGGCAGCAGUAGGGAAAUUCUUUCCCGCAAAUGGGGCGAAAAAGCCCUGGACGGGAGCCAACCGCCCGGCGUAAAGUGAAAG